GCUUCUCGUCAAACCUGAAGAGAGAUUGGUCAAAAUAUGGGGAAGGACUCUGAGACUGACAACUACAAGGCAAGGAAGCCAUCAUUUUCUUAACAAAUUGAGAGAAAUUGGUUGCUUUGUUCUUUGUACACCUUAGUUGCUCGAGGGCGUGGAUGUUGUUUGAGUGUGAGGACAUGAAGUUCAUAUGUAAUGAACUUUUGGAUGAAACGUGAAA
Molecule: unclassified non-coding RNA, 214 nt
Filed under: Hevea brasiliensis (rubber tree)
Lineage: Eukaryota; Viridiplantae; Streptophyta; Magnoliopsida; Malpighiales; Euphorbiaceae
Source: RNAcentral